Molecule: long non-coding RNA, 1444 nt
Organism: Cyprinus carpio (common carp)
Lineage: Eukaryota; Metazoa; Chordata; Actinopteri; Cypriniformes; Cyprinidae
Exons: 4
Source: RefSeq, a predicted model, not a curated record
UAAUUUUCCACCAUGCGUAUGUGUGUGCGUGUAUCACAUCACAGAAAGUGCGAGACCGCGGCAGAGAGAGAGCGAUAGACAGUGUGUGGUGAUCUCCCCGAAUCUCAAGCCUCUUUUCCUGUUAUUUUAUUGCGAUUUAAAUACUUCACUUGUCUAAUGCAUGUAAUCUGACUAAUCAGUGCAGGAAAUUGCCCACAGUCUGUUUCUAAAGAGGAAACCGUUCUGUUUCGAACCUGCCACAGAGAGAGACAGGCUUCCGACGGAAAGCAGCGUGCACGAAGAACGAAGAUUGAGCGUGUGUGCGCGAUGACAGCAUGUCACCCAACCUACCCAUCUGGUUAAUUCUGCCAAGCAAAAGAUGAAACCGCACCAAAAAUACUGCAGAGAUUGAUUCAGUGCACGACUUUUGACAUGAACAACAAGAUAAGAGUGGUGUAUCUAUGGCCUCUAGCAGGGGAUAAGUGGGCCAUGCUAACCAGCUAAUCCCUGACCCCUACAGGUCAGCACAGUGAUGUCAUGAACUGAUUCCAGAUCAGAUGCAACUGGCUGUGGGAAGGACUGACUGCAGGUCAGCGUGGAAAAAUAGGAAGGUUCGGGGGAAUAAACUUAAACUGGUGCAAUCCCACAGACGUCCUGGACUUCAUGUCUCGGAAGUUUCCCGUGGAAGGAGCCACAUGUGCUGCUGAUUACAGCGCUGAAUGUUAGCGGCUGGUGCGUGUUUACAAUCACUUUUUGUGUCUUUAUAUCUAUUGGAUUUCUUUUGAUGUGUCACCUCUGCUUAUAAAAAUAUAAAAAAUAUGGACAAAUUUGCAACGAAGCAUUUUCACACAGAAUCAUCUAUAUAAGUGUUCACAUUUACGGAGAGUAGACGCGAUGUAGCAACUCUAAAGGCCUGUUCACACCAAAGAUGAUAACUAUAACAAUGAAGUUUUAAAAAUCAUUUUAAUUCUAAGAGAAUAGUGAAGUUCACGCUACAACAAUAACGUUGAUGACAAAGAGGAAGCUUUGACAACCAACCAGAAUCCACCAGAUUUUUUUUUUGUUUUUUUUUGUUUUAGAGUUUUAGCUUUUAAAGUGGCAGACGACAAAACUGCAGUUCACACUUAAAAUUAUAUCAUCUAUUGGUGUGGGUGCUAAUAUAGUUAUUGUUAUAGAUAUGUUUAUAUUUAUUGAUCUUGCUGUGAAUGGGCCUUAAUUGUCAAGUAUUGAAAAUUGUAAAAUGUUUUUGGUUUUAUUUAAUUUAAACUAAAUAUUUUUUAUAGUAUGUAGUAUGCUAGUAGUUAGCUAAAUACUUCUACGUAUUAGCUGCAUUUGGAAUAGCAUACUAGCAUACUAUACAGAAUAUUAUGGAAGUUUGUUUCUCCCACAGAAUUAAAAGAAAAGUAUUUGUCACUUUUUAUUUCACAAUUCAGAUUUUUUUCUCUCAAUUUUGAGUUUAUAUAUA